RNAcentral lists this ribosomal RNA (463 nucleotides) under Escherichia coli. Its description in RNAcentral is "bacterial SSU rRNA". It matches the Rfam family "Bacterial small subunit ribosomal RNA", at positions 1 to 460 of the family's 1533-position model. RNAcentral also lists the same sequence under 2 other names. The record is from RNAcentral. Lineage: Bacteria; Pseudomonadati; Pseudomonadota; Gammaproteobacteria; Enterobacterales; Enterobacteriaceae.
AAAUUGAAGAGUUUGAUCAUGGCUCAGAUUGAACGCUGGCGGCAGGCCUAACACAUGCAAGUCGAACGGUAACAGGAAACAGCUUGCUGUUUCGCUGACGAGUGGCGGACGGGUGAGUAAUGUCUGGGAAACUGCCUGAUGGAGGGGGAUAACUACUGGAAACGGUAGCUAAUACCGCAUAAUGUCGCAAGACUAAAGAGGGGGACCUUCGGGCCUCUUGCCAUCGGAUGUGCCCAGAUGGGAUUAGCUAGUAGGUGGGGUAACGGCUCACCUAGGCGACGAUCCCUAGCUGGUCUGAGAGGAUGACCAGCCACACUGGAACUGAGACACGGUCCAGACUCCUACGGGAGGCAGCAGUGGGGAAUAUUGCACAAUGGGCGCAAGCCUGAUGCAGCCAUGCCGCGUGUAUGAAGAAGGCCUUCGGGUUGUAAAGUACUUUCAGCGGGGAGGAAGGGAGUAAAGU